This 661-nucleotide ribosomal RNA is filed under the name uncultured Streptomyces sp. RNAcentral's name for it is "bacterial SSU rRNA". It matches the Rfam family "Bacterial small subunit ribosomal RNA", at positions 229 to 904 of the family's 1533-position model. The record is from RNAcentral. Lineage: Bacteria; Bacillati; Actinomycetota; Actinomycetes; Kitasatosporales; Streptomycetaceae.
UCUCGCGGCCUAUCAGCUUGUUGGUGGGGUGACGGCCUACCAAGGCGACGACGGGUAGCCGGCCUGAGAGGGCGACCGGCCACACUGGGACUGAGACACGGCCCAGACUCCUACGGGAGGCAGCAGUGGGGAAUAUUGCACAAUGGGCGAAAGCCUGAUGCAGCGACGCCGCGUGAGGGAUGACGGCCUUCGGGUUGUAAACCUCUUUCAGCAGGGAAGAAGCGCAAGUGACGGUACCUGCAGAAGAAGCACCGGCUAACUACGUGCCAGCAGCCGCGGUAAUACGUAGGGUGCGAGCGUUGUCCGGAAUUAUUGGGCGUAAAGAGCUCGUAGGCGGCCUGUCGCGUCGGAUGUGAAAGCCCGGGGCUUAACCCCGGGUCUGCAUUCGAUACGGGCAGGCUAGAGUUCGGUAGGGGAGAUCGGAAUUCCUGGUGUAGCGGUGAAAUGCGCAGAUAUCAGGAGGAACACCGGUGGCGAAGGCGGAUCUCUGGGCCGAUACUGACGCUGAGGAGCGAAAGCGUGGGGAGCGAACAGGAUUAGAUACCCUGGUAGUCCACGCCGUAAACGUUGGGAACUAGGUGUGGGCGACAUUCCACGUCGUCCGUGCCGCAGCUAACGCAUUAAGUUCCCCGCCUGGGGAGUACGGAAGCUUGGAAUUCGC